This 561-nucleotide ribosomal RNA is filed under the name Dohrniphora cornuta. Its description in RNAcentral is "partial large subunit ribosomal RNA". It matches the Rfam family "Eukaryotic large subunit ribosomal RNA", at positions 1396 to 1898 of the family's 3401-position model. The record is from RNAcentral. Lineage: Eukaryota; Metazoa; Arthropoda; Insecta; Diptera; Phoridae.
GUAUGCGUAGAAGUGUUUGGCGUAAGCCUACAUGAAGCCAUCAUUGGCACAGAUCUUGGUGGUAGUAGCAAAUAAUCGAAUGAGACCUUGGAGGACUGAAGUGGAGAAGGGUUUCGUGUGAACAGUGGUUGAUCACGAGUUAGUCGGUCCUAAGUUUAAGGCGAAAGCUGAAAAUUUUCAAGUUAAUUAAAUAUUUAUUUAUAUAUAAUAUACUUGAUGUUUUUGAACGAAAGGGAAUACGGUUCCAAUUCCGUAACCUGUUGAGUAUACGUUUGUUAUAAAUCUGGGCUUUUAGCUCAUCCUGGUAACAGGAACAACCAUAGAGAAGCCGUCGAGAGAUAUUGGAAGAGUUUUCUUUUCUGUUUUAUAAUCGUAUUACCAUGGAAGUCUUUCGAAGAGAGAUAUGGUAAAUGGAUUAGAAGAGCAUGGCAUUUACUGCUGUGUCAAUAUUUUCUCCUCGGACCUUGAAAAUCUAUGGUGGGGUCACGCAAAUUUCUCAACAGGCCGUACCGAUAUCCGCAGCUGGUCUCCAAGGUGAAGAGUCUCUAGUCGAUAGAAUAA